AAUUAUGCUAACAUAAAUAAAAAGGUUCACGUAUCAUGCAUUUGCUAGAACCUCACACAGGCCAGGGAAAUGAAACACGAAUAAGGAGUUAAGAGUAGAGACUACAUUCAAUUUAAAAGAAUGGGUCACAAGCAACGAUAUGAAAUAUCUUUUAGCAUUUCUACUUUGUACAAGACCAUGUGCAUUCAAACAGAUAUUGUCAAGGUUCUAUAAAUAAUUUUAAAAGAGGCAAUUUUGAUGAGGAUGGUUCAUCUGGAACAGCUUUGUAAUUGCAAGAGAAUCAAGACAGAUUGGUAAUCUUACAAGCCAUGGAUAAGCUGAUCUAGCAGAAGUCACAAGCACUUUCUUUUGGCCUAAGAAGAGCAGCAGCCACUCUUCUGCGCAACAGGCUGUCCUCGGAUCUGCACUGUUGGCGGCCUUGCAUCAUUCAAAGCUGGCUGGCUUGCCAUUCUGCAACCAUAAUAACACUCCAAGAUAAAUACAAACGCAAAAUGUAAUCAACAAUCUUUUAAGAAAUUAAGCUUAAGCAACUUUCAAAUGGAGUAUUUUCAGAGUUCAACUAAAAAUUACAAGAAUGGAAGAUUAGGAGCUCCCAGUAUGCAUCAACCAGAGAAACCUCAUCAAUGCUUCGUCUGAUAUCUUGGUUCACAAAUAAUCAUAUUUAAAAUUUUAUUUGAAUCUGCUCAUUUGGCUUGCAAUUGACAACCGCAUAGGGACCGUAAAGGUUUACCAGCUAGAUAAUUCAUGACAACUACAUAGGGUUUGAUCUUAGAGGUUUGCCAAAUUGAUAAUUCAUACUUCUAGCUGGCCUUCUGUUGACUUUCUCAUGGAAACAUUAGCCAUUGGUGCAUUCCACAGCUGACAAGCUAAGUGCAUAAUUGAAUUGAGAAGCAAUCUCACUUCUAAAUACAGCUUCCACAAGCAUUAUUGCUUCCAAAUUUGUUAUCGUGCUUGUUGUUUUUAUAGUAUGAUGAAUAUUACAACAGUACCUAUCCUUGAUAGCAGCAGCCAUCGCCAUGAAAGCUUGUUCCACAUUAGUAGAAUCUUUUGCACUGGUUUCCAUGAAAGGAAUACCUAUCUCAUCUGCAAAUGCCUAAAAGAGACAAGGCAAAAGUAAAAGAGAUGAGCUAUGGGAUGGAGGGAGAGAGGGGAAGAGAAAGACAAGUUCAACUACCAAUUUUCAAUUUUUAAUACAGAAAAAUCAGUACAAGAGACAGGAACUAGCUAGACCUUUGCCGUUUCAUAGGACACAACUUUAUUUGCAGUAAGAUCACACUUAUUUCCAACCAGAAGUUUGUUGACAUUAUCACUAGCAUAUCGAUCAAUUUCAUUUAGCCACUGCUUGACAUUAUUGAAGCUCUCUUGGUCUGUCACAUCAUAA
RNAcentral lists this unclassified non-coding RNA (1381 nucleotides) under Hevea brasiliensis (rubber tree). The record is from RNAcentral. Lineage: Eukaryota; Viridiplantae; Streptophyta; Magnoliopsida; Malpighiales; Euphorbiaceae.